CUGUGAACUGCUGAAAGUUGCUGUUCAAACCUGCAGAAUGCAGUGGUCCUUUUUCCUCUAGCGACUUUCUCCCCUACAUUGCUAAGGAUAGUAGUUUCUCUCAAACUGCUAGUUCCUGCAGAAAAAAUGAAUGAAACAAGCAGAAGUGCGGCUAUGACACAAAUGACAGAGGAAAACAGAAAACAAAUGGAUGUGCCACUUUGAUGAAAACGGCCAUUUUUGCCCUCCAGUGGAAGAACUCCUGCAGCUCACAACUGAAAAGGGAAGUAACCAGGAAAAUUCUCUAGGGAAUAUUCCUUGAAAUACGUCUUAUUUUUCAUAUUUCAUCAGAAAAAAACUGUAUGUAUUCUUUUUCUAUAACCGGUCACAUCCCAAAAGUGUGCUUUUCCCCCCAAAAACUCUCUGAGCUUUACUUUAUCAUUAAUCAUUGUUUUUAGCACUCAUCUGGCAGCAGGACUGUGCACAAGUGUAGCAGAUAGAGCAAAGUGUUCCUGGCAAGUGGUGCUGAAAGGAAGUAAAGGAGGAGAUCAUCAGGGUGACAACCAGACAGAGGGGCAGGGAGGAGACAACAACAGCCAUCCUAAUCAUGAAAACAUCGGCACGCUGCUGCUGGAGACUAAACUAAGAAGUGAAACGUGCCCCUAAAAAUUCCAUCUUCGCUCAAGUGGACCAACACAACAAGCAACAUGCAGUAGACAGAGGCAGACUUCUCAGCUGCCAGAUCAAAUGGCAGCAGAGAGGUUCAUUAUUGGAGACAGACUGCAAACAGCUCUGCAGAUCCCGGUUUUGUUGUGGUCGUCCCAGUAAGCACGCGAGUCCACGUAUGAGGAAGAGUUGAAUUGUGUAGGGUUGGAACAUAUCUCGGGGCAUUCAGUUGAAGGAUUGCUGUCUACAUAUUUUCUGCCAUUUCAUUCCCCAUCUUCUGGAAGCUGGCAGCCCCUCGGACUGCACAUAAUUUGAGUCAUCAGUCUCUAUUUCUACGCAGCAGAUGUUUCCCCAUGUCAGCAGGCCUCCUGACAAAGCAAGAUGGAGAACCCGCCUCUUUUAAAGUGUUGCACAUGAGUCCCCCCUUCUCCCCUUUCUGUCGCUCUGCCCACACGAACCUUUGUGAUCCCUUGGGAUACUGUCCCAUGUCCUAUCCUGAUAGUGGGGAAGCAUAUUUUAAUCAAUGCAUGCGUUUGCACAGAAGUAUGCAGGAGUGACACACAGGAACACAAAGACAGUGACUUAUUGUAUUUUUGUGGUUGGCUUGAUGACUAAUUUAUCCUGAAACAUAGACUGGGAUCCUGGAACCGCUCUGAAAGCCUGGUAAGAGACGCUAAUGGAAGGUGAUUAAUAGUCAACUGGGGCAAAUGAUUGCUAUGAUACUGGUAUCAUUACUGAUGAAACGGUAUUGAAAUGGACAUAAUGGAUAAUCACAUUUCUUUUGGUUACAUAAUUCCAAGUCAGGGUGAGAAGUCAGGGUGCAGGAAUGGUGAUUUGAAUUACCCUUUUGUUUCAAACAAAAAUGGUGCUGCAAUAUUGCAGCGUGUUUUGUGGAUUUGCAUUUUAAGUAGUAUGCCAUCUUAAUUUAAGUACAAAAAUGUACUUAUAUAUACAUGUAUAUAUAUAUAUAUAUAUAUAUUUCACCUGUAAUAAUAAAUCUAGUGUCAUUAUUGUGGGAUAUUUUGCAAGGCCUAUAAGGUGGAAAGAAAGCAAAAUGAAAGAAAGAAAUGCCUUAAAAUAAAUUAGACAGUACUUUAAUAGUGCGUACCUCUCC
Long non-coding RNA from Oreochromis aureus, 1759 nucleotides. The record is from Ensembl. Lineage: Eukaryota; Metazoa; Chordata; Actinopteri; Cichliformes; Cichlidae.